CAGUAGCCGCGGUAAUACGUAGGUGGCAAGCGUUGUCCGGAAUUAUUGGGCGUAAAGGGCUCGCAGGCGGUUUCUUAAGUCUGAUGUGGAAGCCCCCGGCUCAACCGGGGAGGGUCAUUGGAAACUGGGAAACUUGAGUGCAGAAGAGGAGAGUGGAAUUCCACGUGUAGCGGUGAAAUGCGUAGAGAUGUGGAGGAACACCAGUGGCGAAGGCGACUCUCUGGUCUGUAACUGACGCUGAGGAGCGAAAGCGUGGGGAGCGAACAGGAUUAGAUACCCCUGUAGUCCCUGUCUCUUAUAC
This 301-nucleotide ribosomal RNA is filed under the name uncultured bacterium. Its description in RNAcentral is "partial 16S ribosomal RNA". It matches the Rfam family "Bacterial small subunit ribosomal RNA", at positions 509 to 807 of the family's 1533-position model. The record is from RNAcentral.